Molecule: ribosomal RNA, 443 nt
Filed under: uncultured bacterium
Lineage: Bacteria
Description: partial 16S ribosomal RNA
Rfam family: Bacterial small subunit ribosomal RNA
Source: RNAcentral
CCUACGGGUGGCAGCAGUGGGGGAUAUUGGACAAUGGGGGAAACCCUGAACCAGCGACGCCGCGUGAGUGAAGAAGUCGUUCGGUAUGUAAAGCUCUAUCAGCAGGGGAGAAAGAAGUGACGGUACCUGAGUCAGAAGCCCCGGCUAACUACGUGCCAGCAGCCGCGGUGAUACGUCGGGGGCAAGCGUUAUCCGGAAUUACGGGGUGUAAAGGGAGCGUAGACGGGAAGGCAAGUCUGGAGUGAAAGGCGGGGGCCCAACCCCCGGAGUGCUCUGGAAACUGGGUAACUGGAGUGCAGGGGAGGCAGGCGGAAUGCGUGGUGUAGCGGUGAAAUGCGUAGAUAUUAGGAGGAACACCAGUGGCGAAGGCGGCCUGCUGGACUGUAACUGACGUUGAGGCUCGAAAGCGCGGGGAGCGAACAGGAUUAGAUACCCGUGUAGUC